CAGUAGCCGCGGGAAUACGUAGGGUGCGAGCGUUAAUCGGAAUUACUGGGCGUAAAGCGUGCGCAGGCGGCUUUGCAAGACAGAUGUGAAAUCCCCGGGCUCAACCUGGGAACUGCAUUUGUGACUGCAAGGCUAGAGUGCGGCAGAGGGAGAUGGAAUUCCGCGUGUAGCAGUGAAAUGCGUAGAUAUGCGGAGGAACACCGAUGGCGAAGGCAAUCUCCUGGGCCUGCACUGACGCUCAUGCACGAAAGCGUGGGGAGCAAACAGGAUUAGAGACCCCUGUAGUCCCUGUCUCUUAUAU
Molecule: ribosomal RNA, 301 nt
Filed under: uncultured bacterium
Lineage: Bacteria
Description: partial 16S ribosomal RNA
Rfam family: Bacterial small subunit ribosomal RNA
Source: RNAcentral